This 400-nucleotide non-coding RNA is filed under the name Macleaya cordata. RNAcentral describes it as "Bacterial small subunit ribosomal RNA". It matches the Rfam family "Bacterial small subunit ribosomal RNA", at positions 1072 to 1369 of the family's 1533-position model. The record is from Rfam by way of RNAcentral. Lineage: Eukaryota; Viridiplantae; Streptophyta; Magnoliopsida; Ranunculales; Papaveraceae.
AAGUUAUGUAGGAUUUUGCUCUAAAUUUAACAUUAUCUUUUCUAAACACCCCUUUGAUAUGUAAAAGAUUGUAUUAUGUUCAAAGUAUAUAUUUGAUUCGUAUCUCUCCUCAUGCAAAGUGUGCAACCCACGUAUUUAAUUGCCACCGUUGAGUUUGGAAUCCUGAACAAAAUGUCGAUGAUAAAUCAGAGGAAGGCGACCGGGAUGACAUCAAGUCAUGAUCAUGCCCAUUAUGCCUCGGUAGCACACAUGCUGCAAUGGCCAUGACAAAGGGUCGCGAUCCUGCGAGGGUGAGCUAACCCAAAAAAAAUCCGUCCCAAAUUUGGAUUGAAGACUGCAACUCUUUUGCAUGAAGUCGAAAUCACUAAUUGUCAUCGGUUAGCCAUACGAUGGAGAUUAC